This is a non-coding RNA of Acanthosepion pharaonis, 108 nucleotides long. NCBI's taxonomy places the organism in Eukaryota, Metazoa, Mollusca, Cephalopoda, Sepiida, Sepiidae. The record is from the annotation of a GenBank genome assembly.
UACGGCCAUAUCACGUUGAAACACCAGUUCAUGUUCCCGUUCCCCGAAGUUAAGCAAUGUUGAGUCUGGUUAGUAACAAGGUAGGUGACCGCUUGUGAAUUUAGGUUG